AACUCCUAGCGGUGGAUCUCUCAGCUUGUGUGUCGAAAACGAACACAGCUAGCUGUGGGAACUAAUGUGAAUUGCAGGACACACUGAUCAUCGACACUUCGAGCGCACCUUGCGGCCCCAACUUCCUUCUGGGGUUAUGUCUGUCUGAGGGUCA
This 154-nucleotide ribosomal RNA is filed under the name Mastacembelus armatus (zig-zag eel). RNAcentral describes it as "5.8S ribosomal RNA (ENSMAMG00000011456.2)". It matches the Rfam family "5.8S ribosomal RNA". From Rfam's summary of the family: 5.8S ribosomal RNA (5.8S rRNA) is a component of the large subunit of the eukaryotic ribosome. The record is from Rfam by way of RNAcentral. Lineage: Eukaryota; Metazoa; Chordata; Actinopteri; Synbranchiformes; Mastacembelidae.